Molecule: ribosomal RNA, 207 nt
Filed under: uncultured bacterium
Lineage: Bacteria
Description: partial 16S ribosomal RNA
Rfam family: Bacterial small subunit ribosomal RNA
Source: RNAcentral
CGUGUAGGCGGCCGUCUAAGUCGGGUGUGAAAUCCCUCGGCUCAACCGAGGAAUUGCAUUCGAUACUGGACAGCUAGAGUGCGGUAGGGGCAAGUGGAACUCCAGGUGUAGCGGUGAAAUGCGUAGAUAUCUGGAGGAACGCCGGUGGCGAAAGCGACUUGCUGGCCCGCAACUGACGCUGAGGCGCGAAAGCUAGGGGAGCGAACA